Molecule: transfer RNA, 72 nt
Filed under: Gemmobacter caeni
Lineage: Bacteria; Pseudomonadati; Pseudomonadota; Alphaproteobacteria; Rhodobacterales; Paracoccaceae
Description: tRNA-Ile
Rfam family: tRNA
About the family: Transfer RNA (tRNA) molecules are approximately 80 nucleotides in length. Their secondary structure includes four short double-helical elements and three loops (D, anti-codon, and T loops). Further hydrogen bonds mediate the characteristic L-shaped molecular structure. tRNAs have two regions of fundamental functional importance: the anti-codon, which is responsible for specific mRNA codon recognition, and the 3' end, to which the tRNAs corresponding amino acid is attached (by aminoacyl-tRNA synthetases). tRNAs cope with the degeneracy of the genetic code in two manners: having more than one tRNA (with a specific anti-codon) for a particular amino acid; and 'wobble' base-pairing, i.e. permitting non-standard base-pairing at the 3rd anti-codon position.
Source: RNAcentral
CGUCCCGUAGCUCAGUGGUAGAGCACAGAGCUGAUAACUCUGGGGUCGGAAGUUCAAUUCUUCCUGGGACGA